UGGGGAAUAUUGCACAAUGGGCGCAAGCCUGAUGCAGCCAUGCCGCGUGUAUGAAGAAGGCCUUCGGGUUGUAAAGUACUUUCAGCGGGGAGGAAGGCGAUAAGGUUAAUAACCUUGUCGAUUGACGUUACCCGCAGAAGAAGCACCGGCUAACUCCGUGCCAGCAGCCGCGGUAAUACGGAGGGUGCAAGCGUUAAUCGGAAUUACUGGGCGUAAAGCGCGCGCAGGCGGGCUGUCAAGUCAGAUGUGAAAUCCCCGGGCUCAACCUGGGAACUGCAUUCGAAACUGGCAGGCUAGAGUCUUGUAGAGGGGGGUAGAAUUCCAGGUGUAGCGGUGAAAUGCGUAGAGAUCUGGAGGAAUACCGGUGGCGAAGGCGGCCCCCUGGACAAAGACUGACGCUCAGGUGCGAAAGCGUGGGGAGCAAACA
Molecule: ribosomal RNA, 427 nt
Filed under: uncultured bacterium
Lineage: Bacteria
Description: partial 16S ribosomal RNA
Rfam family: Bacterial small subunit ribosomal RNA
Source: RNAcentral